RNAcentral lists this long non-coding RNA (2614 nucleotides) under Zostera marina. Its description in RNAcentral is "long non-coding RNA (ZMAR_LNC003463)". The record is from RNAcentral. Lineage: Eukaryota; Viridiplantae; Streptophyta; Magnoliopsida; Alismatales; Zosteraceae.
UCGGAGUAGGUGUUGGAGUUGAAACUUAAGGACUUCGUCUAAAUCUUUUCUUAUUAACCAACUUUUUCUUGUAAGCCAUUUAUAAUCUGUGAAUACAACAAAAUAUUUAACAUUUAAAAUUGAUAAAAAUAAAAAAAUAAUUUAAAUAAAAAAAUUACUCACAGAAUAUAUUAGCAGUUUUGUAAAUUACUCACGUGAAGCAGUCAAAUACUCUGACAUAUAGCAUUUUAUAAACUGUAAAAUGGUCUAAAAACACUGCAAGGAAAUCAACCUAUACAUAUAUGUGGAUCAAAAAUUAUCACCUUCAAUAAGAGGGACGGGACAGAUCUUCAAUUAAAACGCCAAUUAUCUGAAUCAUAAGGAAAUCGUGAGAUGGUGAAGAAACUAACCAGGCAAUAAGGAUCUGUUAAGAUUUAUAUAAGUAUAACCAAAAUAAAAUGACGAUAACCACUACUAAAAAUUAAAUGUUGAUUGAUGAUUCAAAAUAUCUAAACAAACAGUGUAGUAAUAAGAAAAAACCCAACCUGCUUGAAAAAUUCAUCAAGUACAAGUUCAACAGAAUUCUUCUUUGCAUCUCUUCCCGUUUCAAUGUCAUCAUCCCUAGGUUCUUCACGUCUAGAGUCACCAGAAUCCUGUUUAGAAUAAGAUAAUAUCACACAAAUAAUGCAUUUCUGAUCUCAGAACAAGAAUUUUUUAUCCCACCAUUGAACUAAAUCUUCUAAUAAUCAACAAAAGCCCAACAAAUUGAAGCUAGAGGAUUAAAAUUAAGAUCUCAGUUAUAAUUUGAUUAUAAUUAUAGCAUUACAAAAAACCAUUGAAUUUUAUCUUCAGAAUAUAUGAAAAAUUAAGAUUAAGGACAGUAUUUAAAUCAAAAUUUUAAGAAGAGGGAGGAGAAAUCUCCAUACAUUAAUAAUGAAUGAAUAUGACAAUUAUAUAUCUUUGGUUAAUUUCCAUAUGGAAAGCUAAAAAAAAUUAAAACUAAUAUUUUGAGUUUCAACCAUAUUUUUAAGUAUAAAUACACUUUGAUUAAACAUAAUUCUCAUCAAAAAUCACAAAAAUGAUUCUAAUUAUAGCAUCGAUCCAUUAAUAUCUCAUAUCCCAACAAAUCAAUUCGAAUUAAAAAAAUCAUAAGAAUAAGAUAUCAAAAUUUGUGUUAAAAAAAGCUGUAAAACUGUAAAAUGGUCUAAAAACACUGCAAGGAAAUCAACCUCUACAUAUAUGUGGAUCAAAAAUUCUCACAUUCAAUGAGAAGGACGGGAUAGAUCUUCAAUUAAAACGCCAAGUACCUGAACCAUAAGGAAAUUGUGAGAGGUGAAGAAAUUAAUAAGGUAUUUAACAUGCAAUAAGGAUCUGUUAAGAUUUGUAAUGAAUCAGGAGAAAUACAUUCAUUCCUCAUUCCACUGUUAUCAAAAUUGAGUAAGAGUUGAUUGUUCAAACAAAUGUUUUAUAAAAAAUUGAAAGAUUGAAAAAAUCUCAUUUUCACAGAAUAAUCAUAUUGAAUGUCUGAAUGAUGAAAACUGUAUUUGCUUCUUCAAUUUCUGUUAACAUAAUCUACAAUUAUCAUAUCAAAGAUAGAAUCCAUACACCAUAACAUAUAAUAUCUCUCAAUCCCAAGCGAAGUUAAAUUGGCUUAACGCCUUAAAAACAUGAGUUUACUUACAAUCCCAUUCCCUUUGCAAGGCCAUUGUCUAAGAACAUCAACAGAAGAAAAAUAAAGACGGUUUUGUAAUCAACCUAUCAUCAAAGAGAACCAUUAUUCAACAAAAAAAUCUAAAUAAUAAUGAAAGUCAAAAUAGAAGUACAAUAUAAAUGCACAUAAACUUACAACGAUUCAUAUAUGUAAGGGAUGAGGUAUAGUCAAGGGAUUGAGAAAAAUAGAGAACGUUCACUUCAGUGUCGUUCACCGAUAAACUCUGCCAUUAUCAUUAAAAUGAGAAGAAAAAAAUUAAGAUGGGAAGGAUUCCUGAUUAGGAACAACACCUAACGAACUUAAAAAAAAAAAAAAAGCUAAGACGGUGAGGAAAUUGGACAGAUGUCAACUAAUAUUAACUGUCAUAGAAAAUAAAAAACAUAUAACAAAAGACAGAUCUGCAACCACCAUACAAAAGCUAAGAUAGAUGGUGAGGAAAUUGGACAGAUGUCAACUAAUAUUAACAGCCACAGAAAAUAAAAAAAUAUAAGAAAAAAACAGAUCUGCAACCCUCCAAAACACUUAUAUUUCCAAGCAGAAAAAAAACCAAUGACCAAACCACCGUCUCAUGCAUGACAAUGUAAUCGACAGAAAUGAGUCCACUGAAUGAAACAAAACAAAACAAAAAUAUAGGUGGAGAUCGUACCCACUAUUGUGUUGAGAAUCCGUGUGUUGAGAAUGGGGGAAAUCCAGCGUUGUGGAGGGAAUAAAAAAUGAGAUAUUGGGGGAAGUGGAGAAGAGAUUUCCAGCAAGUAGCAACGUAAGGAGAAGUGGAGAAGAGAUUUCCAGCAAGGCAGCAACAACAGUGAAGAAUCUAAGAAGAAAUUCCCGGAGUCCGGAGGCCGGAGAAGAUGGAUUUGGAGGAGAACGAGGGAGAAGGGGGGUAGCAGGGGUUUACGUUUUUUGGGGGAUAGAAGGAUUUGG